UAAGUAGGACAGAUGGCCGCUGCCACAAUGCCGAAAGGCAGUGGGAGAGGAAAGUCCGGGCUUCACAGGGCAGGAUGCCAGAUAACGUCUGGCGGAGGCGACUCCAGGGACAGUGCAACAGAAAUGUACCGCCGGCAGAUGCCGGUAAGGGUGGAAGGGCAGUGUAAGAGACUACCGCCUGCCUGGCAACAGACAGGGCACAUGUAAACCCCAUCCGAAGCAAGACUGAACAGAAAGCGAAAGGCGGCCCGUCUGCUUUCGGGUAGGUCGCUUGAGCCAAACGGCGACGUUUGGCCUAGAUGGAUGGCCAUCCACGACAUAACCCGGCUUACCGUCCUGCUUAAGGA
Molecule: RNase P RNA, 347 nt
Filed under: bacterium D16-54
Lineage: Bacteria
Also listed under: 1 other name
Description: Bacterial RNase P class A
Rfam family: Bacterial RNase P class A
About the family: Ribonuclease P (RNase P) is a ubiquitous endoribonuclease, found in archaea, bacteria and eukarya as well as chloroplasts and mitochondria. Its best characterised activity is the generation of mature 5'-ends of tRNAs by cleaving the 5'-leader elements of precursor-tRNAs. Cellular RNase Ps are ribonucleoproteins.
Source: Rfam by way of RNAcentral